This 66-nucleotide small RNA is filed under the name uncultured Gemella sp. Lineage: Bacteria; Bacillati; Bacillota; Bacilli; Caryophanales; Gemellaceae. The record is from RNAcentral.
ACUACAACCGCACAAAUAAUGGUUAUAAAGUGAUUAAGUCCACCAUAUUUGGCGAGUCUUAGUAAU